Molecule: transfer RNA, 74 nt
Filed under: Notophthalmus perstriatus (striped newt)
Lineage: Eukaryota; Metazoa; Chordata; Amphibia; Caudata; Salamandridae
Description: tRNA-Leu
Rfam family: tRNA
About the family: Transfer RNA (tRNA) molecules are approximately 80 nucleotides in length. Their secondary structure includes four short double-helical elements and three loops (D, anti-codon, and T loops). Further hydrogen bonds mediate the characteristic L-shaped molecular structure. tRNAs have two regions of fundamental functional importance: the anti-codon, which is responsible for specific mRNA codon recognition, and the 3' end, to which the tRNAs corresponding amino acid is attached (by aminoacyl-tRNA synthetases). tRNAs cope with the degeneracy of the genetic code in two manners: having more than one tRNA (with a specific anti-codon) for a particular amino acid; and 'wobble' base-pairing, i.e. permitting non-standard base-pairing at the 3rd anti-codon position.
Source: RNAcentral
GUUAGGAUGGCAGAGCCAGGUAAUUGCAAAAGACCUAAACCCUUUCACCAGAGGUUCAACUCCUCUUCCUAACU